UCCUGAGGCAGGAGGGAGCGUGACCUGACAGGAGGGUGGGAAUAUAUGGGACCACUCCCAACUUAUGUAUCAAAUCUCUACCUAGCAAAGGGAAUGACUAAGAAGAAAUGCAAUAGGACCAUUGCUUGUCCUCCCAUUUAUUAAAGAUGGAAAGCAGCAUUUAUGAGCUCUUUUGAACAAGACUGGGGGCCCUCUUCUAGCUUUGUUUUUUAUUGCUUGGAUCUCUUAGUUUUGUUGUUAUCCUGGUAGGGUGAAAACUUUAUUAUACAAAAUCCUCUCACAGAUAUAUCUCUAUUGACUUACUGGUUUCUUUUUAUGAGUCUGGCUACUUCAGAUUUAAAACGUUCCUAGUAUGCUGUUUUUCCUUGGUCUUUGAGUGAGUUUAUCUCAUAGGACUGCCUGCCAAUAAAUUUCCAACUGGCCUUGAGUGGACUUCAGGCAGA
This 443-nucleotide long non-coding RNA is filed under the name Fukomys damarensis (Damara mole-rat). RNAcentral's name for it is "lncRNA (ENSFDAG00000023490.1)". The record is from RNAcentral. Lineage: Eukaryota; Metazoa; Chordata; Mammalia; Rodentia; Bathyergidae.